UGGCUUGUCUACCUCCACAUUCCUGAGAGAGCUGGGGUUCCCAGCUUCCUUUGUGUGAAGUGAAAGAAUAGAGCUGAUUUACAGGGUAAAUAAAAUAUCAGAGGAAGUAGAGGUUAGCUGUUACUUAUAGCUAAGAGAGAUUUAUGAAAUUACAUAGUAACUCAACCUAAACCUUAGGCUGUAGGCAUUAUGGUCUACAUAGUUCCAUACCUCAUUAGAGGGAAAAAAUGUGGAGAAUGGAGAACACUAAGUCCUUCUUCUGUUAAAAAAAAUUUCUGGUCUUAGUGCAGAUGUGAUCUACAAUCAAAAGAACACUCUACAUUUUUUAUAGCAUCUUUCCAUACUAGGUUUCACUGGAGACUGUAAAAUCCUACUCUAACAGAGCUGAAUGGAAAAUAUUCUAUUUUUUUGUUUGGAGAAACUGAGGCUCAGAGGCAGCACUUUAAGAAGCAAAUGGCUGUGAAAUGCUCUCUGGUCCUGUUUUGUACUUGAUUCAGCUGGUGAAGACCAAGAAGUCUUGGCCAGUCAAGUAUUCCAUAUGGCAAUGAAGACUGUUAACCUAUGCACUUUCACUUCUGGAACUGAGCCCCCAAGGAUGUACCAGAAGCUAUAUGAGGUUGAAAGAAGGAAGAGACACCUUUGCUCUGGGCCCUUGAAGUUCCUUGGAGAGGGCAGGACCAAGAGCAUCUCAGUGACAAACAUAAUGGACUGAAAUCCAGGGUCCCCCUGCAAUUUUCCAGCACUGUAUUGGUUCUAAUUUACAGAUCCUCAAGGUACUACUAGCCCAACAGCUGGAAAGGAUCUUUAUCAAGAAUCAAGGAUGUAUAAUCACUUAAUUAUUACAUUUCCGGACAUGUGGAAUAUGUGCUAUCAAUUACUCGUCAAGUUUCAUUUCUGAGGUCAAAGACUUCAGCAACUCCCUUCACUUCAACGAAUAAGCAAUUCCACGGCAAAGUUUGAGCAAAUAAAAGACCUUCCCAUUUAAGGAACAUUAACAUGAGAAAUCAUGCAAGUGUAUUUUACAACUGAGCAUUGAGCAGAUGGAGCAUGAGGAGUUCUUAAAGGCUCUGGAAUGCUACUUGACAGGUCCAUGCCAAGAUGCCCAUCUCUG
Long non-coding RNA from Canis lupus familiaris (dog), 1111 nucleotides. RefSeq lists it as uncharacterized. The record is from RefSeq and is a predicted model, not a curated record. NCBI's taxonomy places the organism in Eukaryota, Metazoa, Chordata, Mammalia, Carnivora, Canidae. The transcript is spliced from 6 exons.